GGUUAAAAGGAUUGACCCAGCUACAGUUCACCCUUGUCCUGCCCCUUUCUUUUCAGAACUGGAAGGAAAACCUGUCCUGCUAUUAGUCCCAGACUUCUCCUCAGUUUGAAUGGUUGUAUUAGACGACAUCUUGCAGAUGGGAUAAGCAUGAGGUCUUGUGACAUUGGCAUCCAUUGGGGUUGAAAGGGACUGCAAAGAAGUAAACAAGAUAUAAGUUUUAAGUCGUGGCCCCUAUCUUCAAGGAGCUCAUGUUAAAGCAAUCUGGACAUUACAACAGAAUAAGAACAAUAUAACCACAAUAGAGGCUCCUGUUAGAAGAGAUCCUGGAAAUGAAUAAGAGGGAAAUUUAUUGGAGAACUUUAUUUGGACUGGAGGACCCAUUUGUGCAAGUGCAUUCCUUAUUAAUAGGUCUUUGUUCUUGCUGUAACCCUCAGCCAGACAGGCUGUCUCUGGCAGAAGAAUACACUUCAUCAAAAGUGUCUGCAGGUUGUCAAACUCAGGGAGGUUUGGGGACCCUCUGAGGCUGUCAUGGUCAACAAGAAGAUUUUCUGUCGGGCUUUGCCAUCACUCACCCCGAGGAAAUAAUCACUCACUACAUUCUGCAUGUUCUCAUGAUAGAGCUCUCCAUUUGAGAGAAAAGAGCCAUUUUAUCAAAGGACAAUAUAGCCCUUCUCUGGGUCCACGUAGCUUCCAUUAUCAGACCAUAAUAAAUCAUAUUUAUGUUCUCA
Molecule: long non-coding RNA, 728 nt
Organism: Bos indicus x Bos taurus (hybrid cattle)
Lineage: Eukaryota; Metazoa; Chordata; Mammalia; Artiodactyla; Bovidae
Source: Ensembl